UACGUAGGGGGCAAGCGUUGUCCGGAUUUAUUGGGCGUAAAGAGCGUGUAGGCGGCCUGAAAGGUCAGCUGUGAAAACUCGAGGCUCAACCUCGAGACGUCGGUUGAAACCGUUUGGCUAGAGUCCGGAAGAGGAGAGUGGAAUUCCCGGUGUAGCGGUGAAAUGCGCAGAUAUCGGGAAGAACACCCGUGGCGAAGGCGGCUCUCUGGGACGGUACUGACGCUGAGACGCGAAAGCGUGGGGAGCGAACAGG
Molecule: ribosomal RNA, 253 nt
Filed under: uncultured bacterium
Lineage: Bacteria
Description: partial 16S ribosomal RNA
Rfam family: Bacterial small subunit ribosomal RNA
Source: RNAcentral